Molecule: transfer RNA, 69 nt
Filed under: Haematopinus suis
Lineage: Eukaryota; Metazoa; Arthropoda; Insecta; Psocodea; Haematopinidae
Description: tRNA-Gln
Source: RNAcentral
UGAAAAAUAGCAUAGUUUAAUGCAGUAAAUUUUGAUUUUACAGACAGUAAUUAUUUUUACUUUUUUCAU